RNAcentral lists this ribosomal RNA (497 nucleotides) under uncultured bacterium. RNAcentral describes it as "partial 16S ribosomal RNA". It matches the Rfam family "Bacterial small subunit ribosomal RNA", at positions 28 to 507 of the family's 1533-position model. The record is from RNAcentral.
GAUGAACGCUGGCGGCGUGCCUAAUACAUGCAAGUCGAGCGAACAGACGAGGAGCUUGCUCCUCUGACGUUAGCGGCGGACGGGUGAGUAACACGUGGAUAACCUACCUAUAAGACUGGGAUAACUUCGGGAAACCGGAGCUAAUACCGGAUAAUAUAUUGAACCGCAUGGUUCAAUAGUGAAAGACGGUUUUGCUGUCACUUAUAGAUGGAUCCGCGCCGCAUUAGCUAGUUGGUAAGGUAACGGCUUACCAAGGCAACGAUGCGUAGCCGACCUGAGAGGGUGAGCGGCCACACUGGAACUGAGACACGGUCCAGACUCCUACGGGAGGCAGCAGGAGGGAAUCUUCCGCAAUGGGCGAAAGCCUGACGGAGCAACGCCGCGUGAGUGAUGAAGGUCUUCGGAUCGUAAAACUCUGUUAUUAGGGAAGAACAAAUGUGUAAGUAACUAUGCACGUCUUGACGGUACCUAAUCAGAAAGCCACGGCUAACUACGUG